RNAcentral lists this ribosomal RNA (120 nucleotides) under Lepisosteus oculatus (spotted gar). The record is from RNAcentral. Lineage: Eukaryota; Metazoa; Chordata; Actinopteri; Semionotiformes; Lepisosteidae.
UCCAGCAGCCAUAUGACCCUGCAGCUCACAACUGACACCCCACUGAAGUUAAAGCAGGUUUGAGUCUAGACAGUACCUGGAUGGGAUACCUCCUGGGAAAAACUAAGGUUGCUGAUGGAA